RNAcentral lists this long non-coding RNA (689 nucleotides) under Elaeis guineensis (African oil palm). RNAcentral's name for it is "long non-coding RNA (EGUI_LNC063268)". The record is from RNAcentral. Lineage: Eukaryota; Viridiplantae; Streptophyta; Magnoliopsida; Arecales; Arecaceae.
GGGGGUCCCUUUUUAUAGGCGGAGAGCAUAACUGAUUGAUAGCGAUGUCUGUAACCGCCUGGUAGUGGGCCAUUCAGAGCCACGCGGAGUUUGUUAUGGAGAGUAGUGGCGUCAGGGGCCGUUCAGGGCCACGUGAAGUUUGUUACGGAGAGUGGAGUGGUGUUCGUUGUCGUGACUUGCCAGAGAAUGGUGGAGCCUGGAGAGUGGAGUGGUGUCCGUUGUCGUGACUUGCCAGAGAGUGGUGGAGCCAUGCGAAAUCCGUUGCAGAGAAUGGAGUAGGGUAGUGGCCAUUGUCGUGACUUGCCAGAGAGUUUGGAUUUGUCGGCUGGAGCUCGGUUGAGAUGUCUGAUGGAGCGGAAUGGCUCUCUAUCUCAUCGAUCUAAGAGAAGCUCGGAUAUUUCUGAGGCUGCUGAUGAGUCUACUGUUGUCAGAUGCCUCAGGCGAUGAUGCUACAGGCGGGAGUCAUCUACUGUCAAAGCUCGGAUGGAGACUUUCUAUGGGUGAAGUCCGGUAGGAGUCCGAUUGCUAGAGAAGUCCGUCUGGGAUUUGCUUGAUGUGGAAGCUCGUUUGAAGAUUAUGCAUCAGAGAAGUCUGAUUUCAUGAAGAAUCUGGUAGAGGGUCGGUCGGCGGUGGACUUCGGAUGGUGUUGGGGAGGUUCGUCUGCUGGAGGAGUUUGGGGAUACUGUGGA